CCUACGGGAGACAGCAGUGAGGAAUAUUGGUCAAUGGGCGCGAGCCUGAACCAGCCAAGUAGCGUGAAGGAUGACUGCCCUACGGGUUGUAAACUUCUUUUAUAAAGGAAUAAAGUGAGGCACGUGUGCCUUUUUGUAUGUACUUUAUGAAUAAGGAUCGGCUAACUCCGUGCCAGCAGCCGCGGUAAUACGGAGGAUCCGAGCGUUAUCCGGAUUUAUUGGGUUUAAAGGGAGCGUAGAUGGGUUGUUAAGUCAGUUGUGAAAGUUUGCGGCUCAACCGUAAAAUUGCAAUUGAUACUGGCAGCCUUGAGUACAGGAGAGGUAGGCGGAAUUCGUGGUGUAGCGGUGAAAUGCUUAGAUAUCACGAAGAACUCCGAUUGCGAAGGCAGCUUACUAAACUGCCACUGACAUUGAUGCACGAAAGUGUGGGUAUCGAACAGGAUUAGAUACCCGUGUAGUC
RNAcentral lists this ribosomal RNA (460 nucleotides) under uncultured bacterium. Its description in RNAcentral is "partial 16S ribosomal RNA". It matches the Rfam family "Bacterial small subunit ribosomal RNA", at positions 338 to 795 of the family's 1533-position model. The record is from RNAcentral.